AGAGUUUGAUCCUGGCUCAGGAUGAACGCUAGCGGCAGGCUUAACACAUGCAAGUCGAGGGGUAGAUUUUCUUCGGAGAAUUGAGACCGGCGCACGGGUGCGUAACGCGUAUGCAACUUACCUUAUACUGGGGGAUAGCCCGGAGAAAUUCGGAUUAAUACCGCAUAUGCUCACAGUUUCGCAUGGAACAGUGAGGAAAGAUUUAUCGGUAUAAGAUAGGCAUGCGUCCUAUUAGCUUGUUGGUGAGGUAACGGCUCACCAAGGCGAUGAUAGGUAGGGGGCCUGAGAGGGUGGUCCCCCACACUGGUACUGAGACACGGACCAGACUCCUACGGGAGGCAGCAGUGAGGAAUAUUGGGCAAUGGAGGCAACUCUGACCCAGCUAUGCCGCGUGAAGGAUGAAGGUCCUCUGGAUUGUAAACUUCUUUUGUAUGGGGAUAAACUUUUCUACGUGUAGAAAACUGAAGGUACCAUACGAAUAAGGAUCGGCUAACUCCGUGCCAGCAGCCGCGGUAAUACGGAGGAUCCAAGCGUUAUCCGGAUUUCUUGGGUUUAAAGGGUCC
RNAcentral lists this ribosomal RNA (563 nucleotides) under uncultured Flavobacteriia bacterium. RNAcentral's name for it is "bacterial SSU rRNA". It matches the Rfam family "Bacterial small subunit ribosomal RNA", at positions 8 to 570 of the family's 1533-position model. The record is from RNAcentral. Lineage: Bacteria; Pseudomonadati; Bacteroidota; Flavobacteriia.